CAUGCCAUUGUCAAUUCUAAUGAUUUCCUCAUCCUCUGUCGACCCUGCGUACUUGUUUCCUUGUGUGUUUUGAAUGAAUUGUCGUUCAGUUCUGCGCGUCAAACUCAUUUCCUCCCUGUACAUUCGAUAUUCUGUGAACAAUUCGAUUUUCUUUUCACUUCCACAUGACAUGUAGAUCGAAGUAGUUAACUCAAAAAGAGAGGGACACUGCAUUCUACCACUCUUUCAUUUCCUCCCUGUACAUUCCAUACUCUGUGAAGAAGACCAAACGUCAGUUUAAGAAAGUUUUCCAUGAAUGAUCACGAACUGUUGAUUAAAACUGACCUCAACAGUUUAGGUUCAUUUAUUUACUAGAUUUUGCACUGAAUAAAUAUUAAUUUCUAUGCCUCUGUUCCUGUACUUCCACGUAUCUUAUCUUUAUUUACUUCUCUUAUUUUGUGAGGCUACUUCCCCCCCCCCACACACACACACAUUUUCUUCUGCAAAAGAGAAUUUUUCGCCUUCUGUUUUUACAUGUUCUUGUACGCGUUUUACUCAUCGCUGAGAUUCCUGUUAUUUAUUCCCAUGUCCGUAUUUUGAUUAAUUAAAGAUUUCAUUUUAUUUUAUUGGGUGUCUAGCCAUUAAUAAGACCUCACAAUUUCUUAAUCCCGUUUCUGUUUCUUUCUUUCUUUAUUAAGAUGUUCUUAAAUAAGCAAUUCAUUUUUUUUUUGUUUAGGUAAUACUGCGGCUACCUGCAUGAGGGACGGACGUCUGUUAUGCAUGUUACAAAUUCAUGAAACCAAUAUUCAGCGAUCCGACCGCUGCGCCGCCAGUUUCCCUGUAAUACUGCGGCUACCUGCAUGAGGGACGGACGUCUGUUAUGCAUGUUACAAAUUCAUGAAACCAAUAUUCAGCGAUCCGACCGCUGCGCCGCCAGUUUCCCUGUAAUACUGCGGCUACCUGCAUGAGGGACGGACGUCUGUUAUGCAUGUUACAAAUUCAUGAAACCAAUAUUCAGCGAUCCGACCGCUGCGCCGCCAGUUUCCCUGUAAUACUGCGGCUACCUGCAUGAGGGACGGACGUCUGUUAUGCAUGUUACAAAUUCAUGAAACCAAUAUUCAGCGAUCCGACCGCUGCGCCGCCAGUUUCCCUGUAAUACUGCGGCUACCUGCAUGAGGGACGGACGUCUGUUAUGCAUGUUACAAAUUCAUGAAACCAAUAUUCAGCGAUCCGACCGCUGCGCCGCCAGUUUCCCUGUAAGAUUUCUUUUUAUUUAAUUAAAAUUUUCGUAACAUACAUGAAUGAAUUCCAUCGGAUAUUUUUUAGGAUAAUUCAUUUCGGUUCAUAUUUUUUUUUAAUUUAAAUUUUCGUUACAUACCUGUUUAGGUUUCAUCACAGUUUUUUGCUAUAAUUUUUGUUUAACACCUAACACUUCUUUUGAGUAUCAUUUUCUUUUUCAUAACUAACAGUUC
RNAcentral lists this long non-coding RNA (1451 nucleotides) under Stegodyphus dumicola. RNAcentral describes it as "uncharacterized LOC118199467, transcript variant X1". Lineage: Eukaryota; Metazoa; Arthropoda; Arachnida; Araneae; Eresidae. The record is from RNAcentral.